GCCCGGGUAGACGAAUUGGCAUAGUCAGUGGCCUUAAAAGCCACGGUCUCCACGGAGCGUGCGGGUUCGAGUCCCGCCCCGGGUA
This 85-nucleotide transfer RNA is filed under the name uncultured Solirubrobacteraceae bacterium. Its description in RNAcentral is "tRNA-Leu-TAA". It matches the Rfam family "tRNA". Rfam says of the family: Transfer RNA (tRNA) molecules are approximately 80 nucleotides in length. Their secondary structure includes four short double-helical elements and three loops (D, anti-codon, and T loops). Lineage: Bacteria; Bacillati; Actinomycetota; Thermoleophilia; Solirubrobacterales; Solirubrobacteraceae. The record is from RNAcentral.